RNAcentral lists this ribosomal RNA (860 nucleotides) under uncultured bacterium. Its description in RNAcentral is "bacterial SSU rRNA". It matches the Rfam family "Bacterial small subunit ribosomal RNA", at positions 8 to 830 of the family's 1533-position model. The record is from RNAcentral.
AGAGUUUGAUCAUGGCUCAGGACGAACGCUGGCGGCGUGCCUUAUACAUGCAAGUCGAGCGAGCUUGCCUAGAUGAUUUUAGUGCUUGCACUAAAUGAAACUAGAUACAAGCGAGCGGCGGACGGGUGAGUAACACGUGGGUAACCUGCCCAAGAGACUGGGAUAACACCUGGAAACAGAUGCUAAUACCGGAUAACAACACUAGACGCAUGUCUAGAGUUUGAAAGAUGGUUCUGCUAUCACUCUUGGAUGGACCUGCGGUGCAUUAGCUAGUUGGUAAGGUAACGGCUUACCAAGGCAAUGAUGCAUAGCCGAGUUGAGAGACUGAUCGGCCACAUGGGACUGAGACACGGCCCAAACUCCUACGGGAGGCAGCAGUAGGGAAUCUUCCACAAUGGACGAAAGUCUGAUGGAGCACGCCGCGUGAGUGAAGAAGGGUUUCGGCUCGUAAAGCUCUGUUGGUAGUGAAGAAAGAUAGAGGUAGUAACUGGCCUUUAUUUGACGGUAAUUACUUAGAAAGUCACGGCUAACUACGUGCCAGCAGCCGCGGUAAUACGUAGGUGGCAAGCGUUGUCCGGAUUUAUUGGGCGUAAAGCGAGUGCAGGCGGUUCAAUAAGUCUGAUGUGAAAGCCUUCGGCUCAACCGGAGAAUUGCAUCAGAAACUGUUGAACUUGAGUGCAGAAGAGGAGAGUGGAACUCCAUGUGUAGCGGUGGAAUGCGUAGAUAUAUGGAAGAACACCAGUGGCGAAGGCGGCUCUCUGGUCUGCAACUGACGCUGAGGCUCGAAAGCAUGGGUAGCGAACAGGAUUAGAUACCCUGGUAGUCCAUGCCGUAAACGAUGAGUGCUAAGUGUUGGGAGG